RNAcentral lists this long non-coding RNA (489 nucleotides) under Calidris pygmaea (Spoon-billed sandpiper). RNAcentral's name for it is "lncRNA (ENSCPGG00000006870.1)". The record is from RNAcentral. Lineage: Eukaryota; Metazoa; Chordata; Aves; Charadriiformes; Scolopacidae.
AUGGAAGAACCAGAGCUCACUCUGAUGAGCUCCAAUGACAUCAGUAUUGCAGAGUCAGACGCUGAACAUCCUAACAGAGAGAAAAUGGAGGAGGGUAAAAUCAAUAACCCAGCGUGUGUGGAUCAGUCUGAGUUAAAUGCAGAGACAGAAUUUUUACUGCUGGCUCCAGAUGCAGAUUAUUCAGUGUGUGGGAGACCUGAUGGCUCUUCCAAAGCCCGGAGUCCCGAUGACAGUCACGUCCCAUCACAUCAGACAGCAGUGAUGCUGCUGGAGUUCACGGCUACACCAGGAAGUCUGCAAGAAUCCUUUUUAAAAAGAAAGAAGGACUUCAUCCAGAAAUCUCUGAAAAGAGUAGAAGAAAUAAAAAACAAAGAGAGAGAAAAUGAAAAACCAGAAGCCAGGCAGUUUCAAAGAGGAAAGUCUGAGAAGUUGAGCAGGCAAAAGGGGUCUUUGCUUACCUCUGGUAGGUUUAUCUGGGGAAAGACAUAG